CAUGACUCUCGGCAAUGGAUAUCUUGGCUCUUGCAUCGAUGAAGAGCGCAGCGAAAUGCGAUACGUGGUGCGAAUUGCAGAAUCCCGUGAACCAUCGAGUUUUUGAACGCAUGUUGCGCCUGAGGCUGACUGGCUGAGGGCACGUCCACUUGUGCGUCAAGG
This 162-nucleotide ribosomal RNA is filed under the name Genoplesium baueri. RNAcentral's name for it is "5.8S ribosomal RNA". It matches the Rfam family "5.8S ribosomal RNA". Rfam says of the family: 5.8S ribosomal RNA (5.8S rRNA) is a component of the large subunit of the eukaryotic ribosome. It is transcribed by RNA polymerase I as part of the 45S precursor that also contains 18S and 28S rRNA. The record is from RNAcentral. Lineage: Eukaryota; Viridiplantae; Streptophyta; Magnoliopsida; Asparagales; Orchidaceae.